AUUGAACGCUGGCGGCAGGCCUAACACAUGCAAGUCGAGCGGAUGAAGGGAGCUUGCUCCUGGAUUCAGCGGCGGACGGGUGAGUAAUGCCUAGGAAUCUGCCUGGUAGUGGGGGAUAACGUCCGGAAACGGGCGCUAAUACCGCAUACGUCCUGAGGGAGAAAGUGGGGAUUUUCGGACCUCACGCUAUCAGGUGAGCCUAGGUCGGAUUAGCUAGUUGGUGGGGUAAAGGCCUACCAAGGCGACGAUCCGUAACUGGUCUGAGAGGAUGAUCAGUCACACUGGAACUGAGACACGGUCCAGACUCCUACGGGAGGCAGCAGUGGGGAAUAUUGGACAAUGGGCGAAAGCCUGAUCCAGCCAUGCCGCGUGUGUGAAGAAGGUCUUCGGAUUGUAAAGCACUUUAAGUUGGGAGGAAGGGCAGUAAGUUAAUACCUUGCUGUUUUGACGUUACCAACAGAAUAAGCACCGGCUAACUUCGUG
Molecule: ribosomal RNA, 483 nt
Filed under: uncultured bacterium
Lineage: Bacteria
Description: partial 16S ribosomal RNA
Rfam family: Bacterial small subunit ribosomal RNA
Source: RNAcentral